Molecule: ribosomal RNA, 126 nt
Filed under: Prolemur simus (greater bamboo lemur)
Lineage: Eukaryota; Metazoa; Chordata; Mammalia; Primates; Lemuridae
Source: RNAcentral
GUCUAUGUCCAUACCACCCUGAAUGUGCCUGAUCUCAGAAGCUAAACAGGGUCAAGCCUGGUCAGUACUUGGAUGAGAGAAAGGUAAUCUCUUAGUUUUACCAUUCUUAGGCAGGUUGAAAUGACU